Lethenteron reissneri (Far Eastern brook lamprey) is the source of this 176-nucleotide long non-coding RNA. RefSeq lists it as uncharacterized. The record is from RefSeq and is a predicted model, not a curated record. NCBI's taxonomy places the organism in Eukaryota, Metazoa, Chordata, Hyperoartia, Petromyzontiformes, Petromyzontidae.
AGUGAAACUAAAAUUUGAGGAAAUGCAGCCACGCGAAAGAAGAUGAUUUUCCACCUACAGACAGAAGAUACUACUAUACGGAAUCGGACCCCCAGAAUGUUUUUCCCCCCUGGCGACUCUGUCACAGCGUGGCAUGCAACAUGGAAACUUUGGCCGGCAGAGGUCCUCCCUCGUCC